UUCCUGGUGGCUCAGUGGUAAAGCAUCUGCCUACCAAUGCAGAAGACACAGGUUCGAUCCCUGAUCCGGGAAG
Non-coding RNA from Dama dama (fallow deer), 73 nucleotides. NCBI's taxonomy places the organism in Eukaryota, Metazoa, Chordata, Mammalia, Artiodactyla, Cervidae. The record is from the annotation of a RefSeq genome assembly.